GUGACCCUUAUCGAGAACCCCUUCUGUAGGAUUGGGAAUUUUUUCUGCAGGAGUGAAGGUCCAGUUGCCUUGGGUUUGCAAAUUAGGGCGACUAGGGGUUGCCAUGAACAGAAACUCUCCGGCUUCCGUCUUUGUUCGUGGGUGUUGAUUUCAUCAGAUUUACUGGGCAAGAACAGAUGGAUUGUGCUUUAGGAGCGCUGUAAUGGCUAUCGCCCAACUUUGAUCUGAUGUAAAGAGCUCGAUCUGUUCUAGCUGUCUUCCUUGUAUUCAUACACUUGCUAUGUCGCUUCGGUAAAUCUCACAGUAUGGGAUGUGACCCUGUAAUUUCUCACAUCUAACCUGAACUUAGGCCUUAUCUCCCAAUGACCACCCCCAUUGUCAUUGCGCAUAAGCCCUGAUUGUUUGUGGU
Molecule: long non-coding RNA, 409 nt
Organism: Eucalyptus grandis
Lineage: Eukaryota; Viridiplantae; Streptophyta; Magnoliopsida; Myrtales; Myrtaceae
Exons: 2
Source: RefSeq, a predicted model, not a curated record